RNAcentral lists this ribosomal RNA (744 nucleotides) under Triticum aestivum (bread wheat). RNAcentral describes it as "partial small subunit ribosomal RNA". The record is from RNAcentral. Lineage: Eukaryota; Viridiplantae; Streptophyta; Magnoliopsida; Poales; Poaceae.
AAUGGUGAUAAGAAGGUGCAUUGGAUCUCUUGGGAGAAGAUGUGUGAUGCCAAGCGGGAUGGAGGCCUAGGUUUCCAGGAUCUGGAAGUUUUCAACCAAGCUCUUUUGGCUAAACAGGCAUGGAGGAUUCUACAGUGCCCAAUGUCAUUGUGUGUUCGGGUUCUUACGGCGAGAUAUUUCCCGGAUACGACGAUUAUGUCGGCCACUUACCCCUCGGGAGGAUCGUUCACUUUUUGGAGUAUACUUCAUGGGCGUGAUCUGUUGAGAGAGGGCCUUGUUUGGCGGGUUGGUGAUGGAACAAGGAUAAAUAUACACUACGACAACUGGAUUCCGAGAAGCCGAAGCAUGCGGCCACUCGGAGCUGUUUUUGUACAGGGGGUAACUAAGGUGGCCGAUCUCUUGGUGACUGCUGGCGACGCAUGGGACAACACUAUAAUUGAUGACAUGUUUUCGUCGGAUGAUGCCUUAGACAUUAAGCAGAUUGCUAUAGGUGGGUCGGCGAUGGAGGACUGUCUUGCAUGGAACUACACGAAGAAUGGGGUCUUCACGAUGCGCUCGGCUUGUCAUCUGAGAAUGACCAUGAACAAGCUGAAAACCGGACAGCCGAAAUCAACAAGUUCAGUUAACAAACAUCAAGGGUACCUGGGCCUUUGGGAUACCAGCGCACCAAAUAAAGCCAAGAUUCAUAUGUGGAGAGUCAUAAGGAAUGGGUUUGCUGUAGGCGCGGAGCUGCUGCGUUGGUGA